This 1525-nucleotide long non-coding RNA is filed under the name Piliocolobus tephrosceles (Ugandan red Colobus). RNAcentral describes it as "lncRNA (ENSPTEG00000028894.1)". Lineage: Eukaryota; Metazoa; Chordata; Mammalia; Primates; Cercopithecidae. The record is from RNAcentral.
UUGUUAAAUCUUUUAUUGUUCUACCUUUUUUUUAAUUUUUUUGUAUACAAAAUAUUUAAUUCUACAGAUACAUAAUUUUUUUAAAUAACAAAAAAAACGACAUUUAAAAAAAACAACAUUUAAAAAAAACAUCAUUUAAAAAAAACAACAUUUAAGAAAAACAACAUUUAAAAAAAAUAACAUUUAAGAAAAACAUUAAAAAGGGUCAGUGGAAUAGGACAACCAAAAGCAAAACAAAUAAUUAGUUCUAAGAGUUGUAUUACUUUUGUAAUAUAGCAAAAAAAAGGGAAUCGAAAAAAAAAAAAAAAAAAUUCAAAGCGCCAUUGCUUAUAAAAUGUUAAUAGAAAAAUGUAAUUAAUAAAAAAAUAAAAUAACUGCCUGAAUGGCUAAAAUAUAUACAUACAUAAGUAAAUGUGUAUAAAUUUUAUACUUUUACGAUGAAAUUUUUUUUUAACAUGUACAAAAUGCGGUAGAACAAAUAUCGCUACAUUUUAUAAUAACUUAUAAAUUUGUAUAUUUAUUUUAUUUUAUUUUAUUAUUUUUUUUUUUUUUAAUAGAUGAUAAAAAACCUAAAUUCGACAAAGGGUUCACCCCCUUCUAUUUUAUUUCUUAUCCCUUAUACAAUAUUCAAUGUAGAAGCAUCUUACAGAAAUAUUUAAAUUCUUAUGAUGAAGGUGUUCAUUUUAAUUAUUUAAUGAAUGCGAAUAAUUUGAAUAUAAAAACAUACGCCAUUUACAUUUUUAACAGCUUACAUCAGAUAUAUAGUGUAGAAGGCAUAAAAGGGUUAUAUAACGGUUUGAUACCUAUGAUAGCGUAUAUAUUGUCGAAGAAAACAAUUUAUUAUUUUUUGGAAAAAAUACAUUUUUCUAUACAAAAAAAAAAAAAAAAUAAAAAAAGAAAAGAUACUUACAAUCAUAAAAGUAGUGUAUUAAAAUAUGAAAACAAAUUUAUUGAUGAAAAAGAAAAUACAAAUAAUUUCAUUGGGGACAAUCUUAAUUAUAAAGUUGUUAAAUACAUGAAUUUUGUUAAAGAAGAAAAUAUUCUCGUAAAAAAAAAAAAAAAAAAAAAAUUUUUUUACUUAUCAUUUUACCAUAGUCUUUAUGAAUAUAUAAGUUCAAUAGUGGCUUAUCCUUUAUUAAAUAUUUCAACAAAAUUGAUUAUUUUUCAAGAUAAUACGAAAUCACUAUUUUACAACUUAAAAAAUAUAACCCAACUGACAUAUAAGAUUGACGGAGUUAGCGGCUUUUUUAAAGGGUUGAAUAAUUAUCUAAUAAUACAAUCAUUGGAUAAAGUAUUAAAUUGUUUUUUAUAUAAAUUAUUCUCAUCUAACUAUUCUUACAAUAAAGUUAUUACAAUUAAAGUAGUUUUAACAACGUGUUUAAAUACUAUCAUAGCUCCUUACAUUCAAUAUUCAAUGCUAAAUAGGUCACAAUCUCAAGUAUUGGUAUGUUAUAAAAUAAAAAGUUUUAUUUUUUACUUUUUUUUUUUAUAUAUGCCUUAUAUAUGCAUGUAUAUCCACAAAUGA